Molecule: long non-coding RNA, 1571 nt
Organism: Rattus norvegicus (Norway rat)
Lineage: Eukaryota; Metazoa; Chordata; Mammalia; Rodentia; Muridae
Source: RefSeq, a predicted model, not a curated record
CAACAUUCUACAUGAACUGGUUGUUGGUAUUCUAAGUUCCAACCCCACAGCUACCUGGUAACAGCUGUUUUUUCUCGCUUACUCUUCUCUGCUCUCCUGCCCUCUUCCCUGUCCCUUCUCUCCCCAUCCCCACCUUCCCUCCACAUGCCCAUGGCCGGCCCCUUCUGUGUGAACAGCUGCCCUCCAUGGUUCACCACAUAGUACCAGCUCUUUCCACAUGGGGUCACUUAGGCUCGCACUAACCAUCUUUGAUCUAAUCACUCUCUCUUUUUCACUUCCUGUGGCAUCCCGCUGAGGUAACCUGUCUGGUAAAUGGAAGGACGUUCUUUAUGCCCAAACAUUCAUCUACCUUCGCUCUAAUCGUUCUGUUUCGCUUCCUGUGGCAUCCCGCUGAAGUAACCUGUGUCACGAGUACUGGCUGGUCAGUCCAGCAGGCCACCCCAUCGCCUUGAUGCCCCGCAUGCAGCUGCCUGCCAAGGAGAGCGCCCUCUUCAAGCAGGUGCUGAGCUACCCUGACCUAAAAGACAAACUUGAAAAGCUAGAGAGAGAGCCCCUAACUCCACCGGCAGAAGUUUUGGCGCGGACCUUUAGGGUGUACCAUGGGAAGUGAUGAGAAGGCUCUCAGACUAAAAUAACCAUAUGCUGGACAGCUGUCUGACCAGCCUCAGCCACUGCCUGGAACUCCUGGUCUUCUAAGACUAAGAGACCACCAGUCUCCUGCUACAGAUGUGGCCAACAAGGACAGAGGAACAUCAUGUCCAGAUAACCCUCCAGUGGAUCUCCUAGGAUUGGCUUUGGACAAAUGAAGGGGCCUGAGUUCCCUGGACCUGACCACUGCCAUCACCAGCAGGGAGCCCCCAGGAUCAUGCUGUGUAGCCCACGCUAGUCUCCAACUUUCCAUCUUUUACUCUCAAGGCUCCCCAGAACUGGUAUAUCCAUUGAAAAAUUGAGUGAAUUUAACUAACAAGUUACUUUUUUUGUCUAGUAUUUAUGGUGUGCUGUUAUGUGUAGAUAGAUUUUUAAAAAUAACACAGUAUAGCUCACCCAUUUGAAUGGAAAAGUGGAAACAAUAUUAUUCAAACACUCUGUAACUAGAAUAGAAAGAAAUCUAAUUUUAGCUAUUGUGUAGAAAAUGGGGUGAUUCCAACUACAUUGGUAAAAGAAUAAUUCUUCAAAAAUAAAGGAAUUAAAAAUAUUCAAGGGAAAAAUAUAUCUAGUAUAAGGCAAUUAUGUAGAGAGAUGAUGUUAAUGAGCAUAUAUAGUAAAUGGAAAGGAUCUUGUAGAAGAGGUAGUUAUAGAUUAGAUUUGCAGAAAAGAAAGAACCAGCUUAGAUAGCUUACUUGGCAGACAUAUGCAAUUAAUCCUCUGCUCAAUAUUUAAAUAUUUUUUAAACUAAACUAUUCUUUUGUGCACUUUGGAUAUAGGACCAAGAGGACCCAAGCUAGAUCUGACCUGAAAGCCUCCCUGUGAACUAGUUUUCAUGGUGGCAGGAAAGAUUCCAAAAGAGAGAGGCAACCAAUAGUCCUGUUCAGCUAUAGUGAAUAUGAAGCACAAUUUCUAGCGUGACAUAA